This 74-nucleotide transfer RNA is filed under the name Priestia flexa. RNAcentral describes it as "Bacillus flexus tRNA-Val". It matches the Rfam family "tRNA". Rfam says of the family: Transfer RNA (tRNA) molecules are approximately 80 nucleotides in length. Their secondary structure includes four short double-helical elements and three loops (D, anti-codon, and T loops). Further hydrogen bonds mediate the characteristic L-shaped molecular structure. tRNAs have two regions of fundamental functional importance: the anti-codon, which is responsible for specific mRNA codon recognition, and the 3' end, to which the tRNAs corresponding amino acid is attached (by aminoacyl-tRNA synthetases). tRNAs cope with the degeneracy of the genetic code in two manners: having more than one tRNA (with a specific anti-codon) for a particular amino acid; and 'wobble' base-pairing, i.e. permitting non-standard base-pairing at the 3rd anti-codon position. The record is from RNAcentral. Lineage: Bacteria; Bacillati; Bacillota; Bacilli; Caryophanales; Bacillaceae.
GAGGAUUAGCUCAGCUGGGAGAGCACCUGCCUUACAAGCAGGGGGUCGGCGGUUCGAUCCCGUCAUCCUCACCA